AGUCAAUAGAUACCCGGGUAGUCCUGGCCCUCAACGUUGCUCGCUCGUUUUACGGAGUAUCGACCCUCUGUGAGACUAAAGCUAAACGCGGUAAGCGAGCCGCCUGGGUAGUACGAUCGCAAGAUUAAAACUCAAAGGAAUAGACGGGGACUCGCACAAGCAGUGGAUUAUGCGGCUUAAUUCGUCGGUAAACGAAGAACCUUACCAAGGUUAGAAACCCAACUGCAUCCGACCUGAAAGGGACGGAGCCUUCGAGGGUGUUGGGCAGGUGAUGCAUGGUCGUCGUCAGUUCGCGGUUUGAAACUGUUCCCUUCAGUGGGGUAACGAACGCAACCCCCGUU
This 341-nucleotide ribosomal RNA is filed under the name uncultured bacterium. Its description in RNAcentral is "bacterial SSU rRNA". It matches the Rfam family "Bacterial small subunit ribosomal RNA", at positions 775 to 1109 of the family's 1533-position model. The record is from RNAcentral.